This 222-nucleotide ribosomal RNA is filed under the name uncultured bacterium. RNAcentral describes it as "partial 16S ribosomal RNA". It matches the Rfam family "Bacterial small subunit ribosomal RNA", at positions 113 to 334 of the family's 1533-position model. The record is from RNAcentral.
GAACGUACAGAACCUUCCUUUAAGCGGGGGAUAGCCCAUAGAAAUGUGGAUUAAUACCCCAUAGUAAUAUUUGAUGGCAUCAUUAGAUAUUUAAAGAUUUAUCACUUAAAGAUGGCUGUGCGGCUGAUUAGGUAGUUGGUGUGGGUAACGGCCCACCAAGCCAUCGAUCAGUAACUGGUGUGAGAGCACGACCAGUCACACGGGCACUGAGACACGGGCCCG